This 1510-nucleotide long non-coding RNA is filed under the name Fragaria vesca (wild strawberry). RNAcentral describes it as "long non-coding RNA (FVES_LNC004725)". The record is from RNAcentral. Lineage: Eukaryota; Viridiplantae; Streptophyta; Magnoliopsida; Rosales; Rosaceae.
GAUAGUUCCACUAUCUGCGAAGCACUCAAUGUCUCUAUGAGACAUAACUACAAGGAGUAGAUAGGCGAGUAAAUAGUUCUACUUGAACCAUUUAGAAGGAUUGAAAGAAGCUACGAAAAGCUGCAAUCUUGAGAGUGCAUAAAAAUUUCCGCGCAGAAUGACCUUUGCGCACUAAAACAGCCAUAACUUCUUCGUUAAAAUAGAUAUGGACAAACCGUGAAAAUUUCUGAAAACUAGACUCAUAGAGCUUUCCAAUGAUAUAAAGCUCACUGUCUGGUUCGUCCGGAGCUGUUCACAAAGCUCAAACGAAGUUGACUGUCCAGAAGGGACAGAUUGCUGUUUUUCGCAGAUUUGGCAUGUGCGAAGCUGUGAAGCUUGCAGGUGGCGUGUAGGCUUUUGCCUUAGCCAAAUGUGACGUGUGUAUGAUCAAAACCGAGUCCUUUCGAUCGUUCUAAGGUCGUAAACUCCAUGACAAGUUAGCAAAAGCUCCUUGACAUGAACAUAAACUAACUCAGAGGACCUAGAGGAUCCAAUUAUGAUAAUAAUUUUUCAGCUUUGAUAAGUCUUCAACGUCUUUUGCAAGACGGCAAUUGGUUUAAUAGCGUAGGGGGAUCCAAAAUCAAAAGCUUUCGGUAACUCCAAGUCAGUAUGACCAGGCAUGUCCGUGGAGGGUCGGUAGAGCGAGGCACACUUAAAACCACUAUCUCCUUAAUUUCGGACAAUUCUACGACAUCACACUGAGUUUGGAUGAGCCUAGUUGAACAAUUGAUGAUGAAAAAUCCGCUAUAGGGUAGAAGACUUCACCGGAAACACGUGGGUGAUCCUCCUUGGGGAUGCAGUGCCAUGAGUCACCUUCAAAGGAAGGGACCAAAAUCGGCACAAUAUGCCAUGUUUCUAAGGACGAUGUAAGUGUACAUCUUGAUUGUAAAUCAAUAUGAACUAUAAGAGGAGAAUAGUUUCACUUUGAAAAAUUCUCAAGGCAUUCAUUAUUGCUAAUGUGAGUACAUCGAGGUCUCAAAUAGACAAAGGACGUCGAUACAACGCCUUAGUACAUAUAACUUGGAACGAAAAUCAAUGUCUAGCCGAUGACAUCAAAGUCAUGGGUAGCUAGAGCAGGAUCCGAAUCUUUGAAAUUCGCGAUCAUGAGGAUGACGUUCUUGUCCUCAUAUUGAUUUUCCAUACAUUUUUGUAUGCAUUCACAAUUUAAAGGAGCUUGACAAUCUUGAACCAGUGAUCCGAAGAUCCACAAUGGUUGCAUUAAUGUCAUGAGCUGACGUGAGUAGUUUUGACAAAAUGGUGUCUAGACUGGGAGUGUCGCUAUUAGAGCCGGCAACACCUCCCCCUCUUUUCUAGACAUCGGCACGACGUUUUCUGCCGUUGCCAUGACCCAUAUUGUUGUCCCCCACAUUAGGGGGAUAAUCCCAAAUAAGUUUAUCACAUUAGCGUAUAUACAAUUCCUGUUUGUAUGAUCAAAAUCGAGUCUCGUUGGUAAUUCCACACCAACUUGGAG